UCCUACGGGGCGCAGCAGUGGGGAAUAUUGCACAAUGGGGGAAACCCUGAUGCAGCAACGCCGCGUGAGUGAAGAAGUAUUUCGGUAUGUAAAGCUCUAUCAGCAGGGAAGAAGAAAGACGGUACCUGACUAAGAAGCCCCGGCUAACUACGUGCCAGCAGCCGCGGUAAUACGUAGGGGGCAAGCGUUAUCCGGAUUUACUGGGUGUAAAGGGAGCGUAGACGGCGGCGCAAGUCUGAAGUGAAAGCCCGUGGCUCAACCGCGGAACCGCUUUGGAAACUGCGAGGCUGGAGUGCUGGAGAGGG
Molecule: ribosomal RNA, 305 nt
Filed under: uncultured bacterium
Lineage: Bacteria
Description: bacterial SSU rRNA
Rfam family: Bacterial small subunit ribosomal RNA
Source: RNAcentral